Molecule: long non-coding RNA, 1850 nt
Organism: Oncorhynchus gorbuscha (pink salmon)
Lineage: Eukaryota; Metazoa; Chordata; Actinopteri; Salmoniformes; Salmonidae
Exons: 3
Source: RefSeq, a predicted model, not a curated record
UUUGCUCGAGACGGAACCCACGUUCUGCUCUGUUGCUGCUGGGGGUAAGAACGUUGCCCAGUGGCUGGUGGAAAUGAAGGACACUAAGGGGCGAGGUGAAGAACACUGAGCCACUGGCUGGGUGGUCGGAUUUUGUUUGUUAUUGUAAAUAGUUCACUGUUCCCCUCUACCUGGACCGAGACCUUGAGUGCAUUGUAGAGGCUUGUGUGUGUUGAGGACCCUCAGAGCUAUAUUGUCUGUAGUCUAUAAGACUACUGGUAGGCAGUUCUGAGGCGAGACACCAGACUAACAUCGGUCCAUUCCCAAACAAAAUACGUUUUUUUUUAAAAAGUUUAAAAAGAGGAGACAUUAAAAUAUACAAAUAUAAAUCAAACAUGAUUUAUCAACACAUCUUCAGGUGAAAACUCAACUUCUUGGUAGAGCUGAUGUUUUUCUCGACAGCAGUAGCUAGAACACAUAGGUAAAACAAGGUAUGACUAGCUUACCUUUUGCAUACAUUUCUGUCCACAUUUCGGGUCAGUGGCCCAGAUGCACUGGGCUACACACACCCCGUAUAUUAGAGGAAUUGUGGUGUGUUAUUUUGUGUGUAGAGAUUGCUGACAUUCAUUUAAUGUUUACUGGAUUUACAUUGCAAUAAUUAUCUUGCAUUUCAUCCUGUUUCCCUAUGUAUACUCUGGUUCAUCAUUAAAACUCCUAGACUGGGCUUCUGUUGCUGUCAUCACCAUUUAGACCUGGUGCUCAGAGCACAUGGCUACUUAAUAUGCAUUGUUGACACAUCCCUGUCAACUCCUCCUCUCACCCAGCAAAACCCCCCAUUUCCCCUCCUCCUUCCACAGAGAAGAAUGGGCAAUAUCUUACUUGGUGUGGCAAACGUGUCUAUGUAAACUGAAUUUAACUACAAAUAAAAUAAUAAUCACCCUAAUCCAACCCAUAACCCCCCCACUGCUGUCCUCCUCCCUCCUAGCAGACCUAUCAAGCAAACGUAAGUUCCUUUAUAUGCAUCUAAUACGGUUAUGCUGUCACUUGUCACUGCACUCAUUAGUCAUGAUAGUUGUUUUUUUCUUGCCUCCUAAGAUGGAAAAUACAAGGUUCCGUUUCAUGCCCUCACAGGAGUUGGUCCUCAAGUCCAAACCCCAGGCAGUAAAAGUGGCCGCUGACGGCCCCCCUGCUUCUGGUGCUCAGGGCCCUUCUGUGAGGACUAAGAAGUGGGAGGAAGUGGAGGCAGAGGAUCGAGCCCGCGUCGUCUCCGAGGGAGGUGACCCCGGUGCAGAGAUGGUCAUCCUGAGCCGGUGCACGGUUCGACAAGUACCGGGGUCAGACCUUCAAAUGGAUGAUGGAGAACGACGUGGGCUGCAUGGUGCACGUGGUAACAGUGCAUAAGAAGGAGAGCGAGCGAGAGGGCAGCGUUUCCCAGCAUCCCCUGAUGGGCCAACAAGGAGGCCUUGACUCGCUACUCGUGCGCCUAUCCGGCCUUCGCUGAGGCGGUCAGGUUCAACCGGACGCACGAGGAAGCUUAAGUCCUGUCCUCCCAGCCAGAUAUCAGGAGCUUGAGGACGCAGACACCCCGUUAUCCUCAGAGUGCGAUGGCCGCCUUGAUUGACUACAUUCAGCGCAGAGACCAGGAGGGGUAGCUGCUGUGGCCAGGCCCGCCAGCACCACCCCCGUCAGUAACACCCCCGUCAGUAACAACCGGCCCAACAGUGCGGCUACGUACCAGAGAGCAAAUGCAAUGCAUUUCCAGGCAUUCCUGUUGGAUGGACUGAUGAGGUGGAACGAGGACCAUGCGCAGGCGGCAGUGGAGGUGCCGCUGCUCUCCUAGUGGCCACCUGCAGCACAUCCUUAACCUUAGC